AGAGUUUGAUCCUGGCUCAGGAUGAACGCUGGCGGCGUGCUUAAUACAUGCAAGUCGAACGAAGUCAGUAGCAAUAUUGGCUGAGUGGCGAACGGGUGAGUAACGCGUUGGUGACNNNNNNNNNNNNNNNNNNNNNNNNNNNNNNNNNNNNNNNNNNNNNNNNNNNNNNGUUUGGAUUAGAUGCCUUAUGACUAAACGGAUUUAUUCGCUUCGGGAGGGGCCUGCGUCCCAUCAGCUAGUUGGUAGGGUAAUGGCCUACCAAGGCGAUGACGGGUAGGGGACCUGAGAGGGUGGCCCCCCACAAUGGAACUGAAACACGGUCCAUACACCUACGGGUGGCAGCAGUAGGGAAUAUUGGUUAAUCUGGAAAGCCUGAACCAGCAACGCCGCGUGUGCGAUGACGGCCUUCGGGUUGUAAAGCACUUUUAGAGAGGAUGAGGAAGGACGGUACUCUCUGAAUAAGUCUCGGCUAACUACGUGCCAGCAGCCGCGGUAACACGUAGGAGACUAGCGUUAUCCGGAUUUACUGGGCGUAAAGCGCGUGCAGGUGGUUCUGUAAGUAGGGCGUGAAAGCUCCUGGCUCAACUGGGAGAGGCCGUUCUAAACUGCAGAGCUAGAGAGUGGUAGAGGGAGUUGGAAUUCCGGGUGUAGUGGUAAAAUGCGUAGAUAUCCGGAAGAACACCAGUGGCGAAAGCGGACUCCUGGACCAUUUCUGACGCUCAGACGCGAAAGCUAGGGGAGCGAACGGGAUUAGAGACCCCGGUAGUCCUAGCUGUAAACGAUGUAGACUUGGCGUUGGAGGGGUUAAAUCCUUCAGUGCCGAAGCAAACGCGAUAAGUCUACCGCCUGGGGACUACGGCCGCAAGGUUAAAACUCAAAGGAAUUGACGGGGCCCCGCACAAGCAGCGGAGCGUGUGGUUUAAUUCGAUGAUACACGAAGAACCUUACCAGGGUUUGACAUGCUAGUGGUAGGGAUCCGAAAGGUGACCGACCCCUCGGGGAGCUAGCACAGGUGCUGCAUGGCUGUCGUCAGCUCGUGUCGUGAGAUGUUCGGUUAAGUCCGCUAACGAGCGCAACCCUUGUCCUUAGUUGCCAUCACGAUAUGGGACCGCCGGUAUCAAACCGGAGGAAGGUGGGGAUGACGUCAAGUCAGCAUGGCCCUUAUGGCCUGGGCUACACACACGCUACAAUGGUCAGUACAGUAGGUUGCAAAACCGCGAGGUGGAGCCAAUCCAUAAAGCUGGCCUCAGUUCAGAUUGCAGGCUGCAACUCGCCUGCAUGAAGUCGGAGUUGCUAGUAAACGCAGGACAGCUAUACUGCGUUGAAUACGUUCCCGGGCUUUGUACACACCGCCCGUCACGUCAUGGGAGCUGGCAACACCUGAAGCCGGUAUCCUAACCCGCAAGGGAAGGAGCUGUCUAAGGUGGGGCUGGUGACUGGGACGAAGUCGUAACAAGGUAACC
Molecule: ribosomal RNA, 1463 nt
Filed under: uncultured bacterium
Lineage: Bacteria
Description: partial 16S ribosomal RNA
Rfam family: Bacterial small subunit ribosomal RNA
Source: RNAcentral